This 248-nucleotide ribosomal RNA is filed under the name uncultured soil bacterium. RNAcentral's name for it is "partial 16S ribosomal RNA". It matches the Rfam family "Bacterial small subunit ribosomal RNA", at positions 26 to 277 of the family's 1533-position model. The record is from RNAcentral.
AGGACGAACGCUGGCGGCGUGCUUAACACAUGCAAGUCGAGCGGAAAGGCCUUUCGGGGUACUCGAGCGGCGAACGGGUGAGUAACACGUGAGUAAUCUGCCCAUCGCUUCAGGAUAGCCAUCGGAAACGGUGAUUAAUACUGGAUAUGACAUUCCUUCGCAUGUUGGGGUGUGGUAAAGUUUUUUCGGCGGUGGAUGUGCUCGCGGCCUAUCAGCUUGUUGGUGGGGUAAUGGCCUACCAAGGUCUU